Molecule: long non-coding RNA, 3295 nt
Organism: Gallus gallus (chicken)
Lineage: Eukaryota; Metazoa; Chordata; Aves; Galliformes; Phasianidae
Source: Ensembl
AGUAUCAUGGCGGAAACUGAAAACUUGGUUUGUUAUUGUGAAUUACCCUCUUAAAUUCUGUUGGUGAAAAUCAAAUGCAAGUUCCCAUUUCUAUAGUACUCAGAGUAUGUGAAAGACUAACUAGGCGCAUUCAACAUAUUUUCACUGUGAGUACCUGAAAAAAGAGGCUGAAAAUUCUCAAGUUUUUGGGUAUCAACCAGGAAGAACAGACCUGGAACCCCAUAGUGACGAUACAAAUCACAGUACUGUAGACCAAUAUAUUGAGAAAAGUUCAGGAAAAGAGGUUUAUAGCAUUACUAGUGUAGAUUGUGAGAGACCAUAUUUUCAUGGCACACAGCACUAACAGAUGUGGUGCUGCACUUUAAUUUAGUGUGAAUAGCCAAGUUUCAUCAAAGCACUAUUAUUCUCAGAAAAUGCCUGCCUGGAGAAUGUUAAGGCUUUUGGCUUUGUAAAAUUUAAUAUUCAGGCCCGACUCCUCCCAGUGGCCAACUUUUCUAUCGGUUGUCUUACCAUAAAGAAUUUCAGUUCUUGUUCAUGAGGUUGGUGACCAAAGUGCUUAGAGCCCUCUAUCUGUGACACCUAAGAGUCUCAUUUGUUGUUAAAUAUGCAAAGGAACAAAAUAUUUCUAUUUAGAAAUAAUGAAUGAUCUAACAGAAAAGAGAGAUAUUUCAGUAAAAAAUAAUUAUCAGGGAGUCAGAGUUCUUUAAAGCUCAUGACUAACAGCUCUAGAAGGCUAACUCACAUUCAUAAGAAAAACAACCCCUGCUAUCUUUAUAUAAAUGAGGAUGGAACUUUGAAGAGCAAAUGGCAACAGAAGAGAGAACAGGGGAACAAGAAUGAAAUCCUCAUCCAGAGUAGAAGUUUGUUUUGUAUACUGAAGUCAAAAAGGUCUUUAAAUAUCUUUUCCUACCCCCUUCCGAACUAUAGCAUGUUCAAUAGCAUAAACAGAUGCACUAAUGCUACAUAUUAAAUCCCCAAAUUCUGCAUGCGUUCUUAUUUGAAAUUCACCUAUGUGGCUCAUUCUUGCUAUGAAGACUUAUAUUUGGCACUAGGUACCAAACCUGCAAUUAUAUUUGCAAGGCAUAGGAAACGUCGUCUUCAGCUGGUAAAUUUGUCACAGUUCCCUUAAAGAACGUCAUGGCAUAUAAGCACAUAAUUUCAAGAAAAUGCUAUUAUACCUUAUGGUAAAAUUCUUCUAGGUUUUUUCUCUGGUACCGUAUAUGCUUAUGUCACAUUUCAAGUCUAUCCAGUAUACCAUGCUUGCCAUUCUCCGCCUAAAGAGAGGCAUGGAUGUGAGAAGAACCCUUACACAGCUUUUCCAAGUAUGACGAACGAGACAAGAUUUGUGGUAUGUCAGGACUACUGUAGAUUGACCUCAGUGUUGAUGGAAUCUUUUUUUGUACUCUAUAUGAUCGUAACUUUGGUCAGAAUUUUUACUAUAUGGUACAAAGGACAAGUGGUACAGAGUUGUCUUCAAAAACUUGGGAUUACUUUAGAGGAUAUACAGUAAAGCAUCUGUCUGGAAGCAAUUAAAAACUGAUAUAAACUUACUGUUUAUUUUAAUCAAUCAAUCAUUCUCACUUCUUUCUCUUGGUGUUUUUAUACUGUUUUAAUUUUUAAAAUUUUAACUGUCUAUAAUGGCUUUUGACUUGUUCUUUCUUUUGCUUUCACAGAUCAAAUCUUUCACAGGUUUUGAGCAAUACUCUGACAUACAUUUAAAAUUUCUUUACACUACAUUCUUCCUAUUUUCUUUUUGUUCAUGAUCCAAGUAUAAACACUGUCAGAUCCACUUAGUUAUUUACAUUAUACUUAAAAAUAUCUUUGUAUGAGUGCAGUUAGAAUAUUUAUUUGGUUUCUUCCCUUUUCCCAGCUCUUCACAAACCAAAACAAUGCUCACAGUUUUCCGAGAAUGGAGACGACACAGGUCCAGGUUUAAAUCUCAAAUGUAAAGAAGAAUAUUAUUUGAACUGAAACCAAUAUACUGGUUUACGAUGAGAAUUUUCUGAUUUCCAAAUGCAUAUUUUGAGAACAGCUGACAUGACUAAAAUGCAUUAUCUUUCUCCGGAGUGCUUAUACUCUUCAUCACAUGUUGUUUCAUUUUGCAUUUGUUCUUUUUAAUAUAAUAAAUGGAUAUGUGCAUAGAAGUAAAGUAGAGGCAGUUGAAGUAUGCUGCUAUCAAUAUUCAGCUGAAGAUAAACUUACCAGUGACUUUAACAGACGUUUGCCUGAAUAAAAGAUUGAAAAAUGAAAUUCUUCACUUAGUCACUUCAUUACAGCUUGUAAAAUCUUGGAGUCCAGUUCUUAAUCUCUUCCUCACUUGCAAGAAUAAGCACUGAGAAUUUAAAUUGCAUCAAAUCAAAGGGUGAUGCAGAAGUGCAUUCUUCCCUACUUCUUCAGUGCACUGAAACAAUAAAAUAGAAGCACUGUCUCUAAAUAUUUAUUUCCAGCAGUCUUUAGGUGCUGAUUAAAUAUUGACAUGAUUCAAUAGCAGUUCUGUAGAAGCUCAAUCUCAGGAAUUUGCAAAAGUGCCAGACAGAGUUAUACUGCGGUGAACUGUCUCUGAGUUCUGCUGAUACGUGAGAAGGCAUGGAGUAGUGUGUACUGAAGCACCUCCUCUUAAGUAAUGACAUGAUUUAUUUUCACUAAGAAUUUCUUAACUUGGAAACAUUCUAUAAACAAAAAGAACUCUAAUGUGUGAGCUUGUCACAUUAUUUUCUUCCUCCCCUGGAUAUGGUUAUUUGCAUUAUUUGUAUUAACUUCUUUGAAAAGUUUUGUGCUGUCUAUUUUUGUAAUGGGCAGUCUAUUCACCAUAAAUUACUUAUUACUUACAAGAUUACAGUAUAAAAUAUAGAACAAGUGAGACAAAUACAUUCUAACUCAGAAGUUUCAAGAAAAGCUACACUGUUUUACAGUUUUAUGACAUUCAUUAUGCCCCCAGAAUUGAAAAAUCUUUCUAAACUCCUAACCAUCUGCUCCGAGUAAAGCAAAUGUUUGUGCUGCUGCUCUCCAUAAUCCCCAUUUCCUUUCUCCCACAUCUGCUACUGACCAGGCCACUUCUUGAUUGUUAUGGAGUGCUCAGAUUGAAAAGAUGCAACAACUUUAAAAUGAGAAGAUGUCAUUCUUAUUAAAACCUUUUACUCAGACUCUAAAUCAGGCUGCAGGAGCCUUCAGGUUUUCUUACUGAUUUUGGGCAGCUGAUUGAAUCUUUGCAAGCUUUGAUGUCCUAUCAAUGAAAGGGAAAAAUAUUGUUUGGCUUUAAGAUAAUAUUACUGUUGUAUGUUAAUUAAAAAGCAUU